AUGGACGACAAAAGCGGCAGCCCCCUGGCUACAGGAAUCCUCCUCUGCACGCACCUGCCACCUGCCACCUGUUCCCAGGGCACCUUCACAGGGUCGGUGGCUUCUGAGAUUCUGAGAGGUAAAGCAACUUGCUCCAGGCCAAGUGGCCAGGUCUCAACCCAGGACUUGAUCCCAGAAUGGGGCCUCCCCCCAAAACACACGUGGAGUCUGAGACCUCGACUCAGGUCCAGAAGCUUUAAAAUCGGGGUACUUCCUCCCUUUGCUCCUGUCUGGCCCCUCAGCCAUGCCCUGCAGGGGUUGAUCCACUGGGAGCCCACACCUGCUGACACCCAGGAGGAAGCCUUCACCACCCAGCCGGCUCCCAGCUGCCUCCCUGCAAGGCUUCCCAGGCUGGGAGGGGUGCCUGCGGGGCAGGAGUCAGAGGAGCCAGGAAAGCUUCCAGACCUUCUGCAGAGUGAGGAAGCCGCCGGGUGGUUUGAGUCAGAGCUGCUGAUCCCCGGGCCAGGCCCCCACACAGGGAGCUGUUCCCAGCAGCCCAGGUGCUGCAUACGUGGGGGGCUCCCCUACCCCUUCGGUGAGCUUUGCCCCCUGGAGCUUCUUACAGACCACCCUUUCAGCAGCAAAGCCACCUUCCCCUUCUUGCACUGGGUUGGGACCCCCUGCCUGGUCAGGGUCUCCUUAGCCAGAAGGAGGUAUCCCCAAAUAGCAGCUCGGGGUGGCCUGGGGCCCUGGCCUCCAAGGUCAGCACCGCCGCUGAGGACCCUGGAGAGGCUCUGCUCUCUGCCCUGGUCGCAUGCGUCCCUGGAGGCAGGCCAGCUGGGCUUCGCUGGGAGGAAGACAGGGCGGCCCCCGACACUGGUGAGGGUGUCUGCUCCCUGGGCCCCCCGCACCCCCCCACUCUCAGAUGACACGCGCAUUAACAACACUCCGGCUGGCAAGAGCAGAUGGAGUCGGGCAGGCGCAUGGUCAGGACGCUGGAUUUCAGCCCCGUGGCUCUCCUACACCGAGAAGACGCAGCAGGCAGAAGGGGGGGGGGGACGUGUGGGAUGA
This 1050-nucleotide long non-coding RNA is filed under the name Vulpes vulpes (red fox). Its description in RNAcentral is "lncRNA (ENSVVUG00000008433.1)". The record is from RNAcentral. Lineage: Eukaryota; Metazoa; Chordata; Mammalia; Carnivora; Canidae.